GAACUCGGGGUGUCAGAGGGCAAAGGAACUACCUGCCUUUCACGGCUGCUGACUUCUCAGGGCUGCAAGCAGCACAGAAUGUUAUCCUUACGUCCUGAGCCGGUUUAAGUCUGUGGAAAAGGAAGCACGGGAGAAAUCCACGUAACCUUUGCUUUCUUUUUAAGGGAAGCGGUUCCGCCGUGAACUUGGAACCCUCAGCUCCGGGUGUUCUCGGCAGAAGGGCAGCUGGAAGGGACACAGUGGGGCAGGCUUUGGGGUUGCUCCCUGUUCUGCCCCGAGGCCGGGGACGCAGGGCAGCCCACGCCUCCGUGGGCUCCAUUCUGUAGCAUUGCCAGCGUUCUCUUCACGUCUCUAACAAUCCUUCGCUUUUCCUCACUCACGUGGAAAUGUGAACUGUCCCGGCUCUGUCUUCAUUUUUAUUUUUAAGCCAUCGUUCCCCUCCUGAACGGUUGCCCCUUAUUUAAUGCUGUAAAGUUGGACUGUUGUUCAAUAAACCAGAGCAAUGCAUUAGCUCCUC
This 517-nucleotide long non-coding RNA is filed under the name Homo sapiens (human). RNAcentral's name for it is "non-protein coding lnc-SRY-11:1". Lineage: Eukaryota; Metazoa; Chordata; Mammalia; Primates; Hominidae. The record is from RNAcentral.